This 393-nucleotide ribosomal RNA is filed under the name uncultured bacterium. Its description in RNAcentral is "partial 16S ribosomal RNA". It matches the Rfam family "Bacterial small subunit ribosomal RNA", at positions 523 to 918 of the family's 1533-position model. The record is from RNAcentral.
AUACGGAGGAUGCGAGCGUUAUCCGGAUUUAUUGGGUUUAAAGGGUGCGUAGGCGGACGAUUAAGUCAGCUGUGAAAUGCCCGCGCUUAACGCGGGAAGUGCAGUUGAUACUGGGUGUCUUGAGUACAGUAGAGGCAGGCGGGAUUCGUGGGGGAGCGGUGGAAUGCUUAGAUAUCACGAAGAACUCCGAUUGCGAAGGCAGCCUGCUGGACUGUAACUGACGCUGAUGCUCGAAAGUGUGGGUAUCAAACAGGAUUAGAUACCCUGGUAGUCCACACAGUAAACGAUGAAUACUCGCUGUUUGCGAUAUACAGUAAGCGGCCAAGCGAAAGCGUUAAGUAUUCCACCUGGGGAGUACGCCGGCAACGGUGAAACUCAAAGGAAUUGACGGGG